Molecule: ribosomal RNA, 997 nt
Filed under: uncultured bacterium
Lineage: Bacteria
Description: bacterial SSU rRNA
Rfam family: Bacterial small subunit ribosomal RNA
Source: RNAcentral
UGGGGGAUAUUGCACAAUGGGGGAAACCCUGAUGCAGCGACGCCGCGUGGAGGAAGAAGGUUUUCGGAUUGUAAACUCCUGUCGUUAGGGACGAUAAUGACGGUACCUAACAAGAAAGCACCGGCUAACUACGUGCCAGCAGCCGCGGUAAAACGUAGGGUGCAAGCGUUGUCCGGAAUUACUGGGUGUAAAGGGAGCGCAGGCGGGAAGACAAGUUGGAAGUGAAAACCAUGGGCUCAACCCAUGAAUUGCUUUCAAAACUGUUUUUCUUGAGUAGUGCAGAGGUAGAUGGAAUUCCCGGUGUAGCGGUGGAAUGCGUAGAUAUCGGGAGGAACACCAGUGGCGAAGGCGACCUACUGGGCACCAACUGACGCUGAGGCUCGAAAGCAUGGGUAGCAAACAGGAUUAGAUACCCUGGUAGUCCAUGCCGUAAACGAUGAUUACUAGGUGUUGGGGGAUUGACCCCCUCAGUGCCGCAGUUAACACAAUAAGUAAUCCACCUGGGGAGUACGACCGCAAGGUUGAAACUCAAAGGAAUUGACGGGGGCCCGCACAAGCAGUGGAGUAUGUGGUUUAAUUCGAAGCAACGCGAAGAACCUUACCAGGUCUUGACAUCCGAUGCAUAGCACAGAGAUGUGUGAAAUCCUUCGGGACAUCGAGACAGGUGGUGCAUGGUUGUCGUCAGCUCGUGUCGUGAGAUGUUGGGUUAAGUCCCGCAACGAGCGCAACCCUUAUUGCCAGUUACUACGUUAAGAGGACUCUGGCGAGACUGCCGUUGACAAAACGGAGGAAGGUGGGGAUGACGUCAAAUCAUCAUGCCCUUUAUGACCUGGGCUACACACGUACUACAAUGGCGUUAAACAAAGAGAAGCAAGACCGCGAGGUGGAGCAAAACUCAAAAACAACGUCUCAGUUCAGAUUGCAGGCUGCAACUCGCCUGCAUGAAGUCGGAAUUGCUAGUAAUCGCGGAUCAGCAUGCCGCGGUGAAUACGUUCCC